RNAcentral lists this long non-coding RNA (371 nucleotides) under Felis catus (domestic cat). RNAcentral describes it as "lncRNA (ENSFCAG00000048845.1)". The record is from RNAcentral. Lineage: Eukaryota; Metazoa; Chordata; Mammalia; Carnivora; Felidae.
UGCAAAUCUGGAGCUGCCAGUGGCUCUCUUGGCUGUUAAGGGAGAAAGCCUGGCUAAGAAUGAAGACAACAUUGUGGAAACAGGGAUAAAGGACAGAAAAAAUAGGACAGUUUCUUGUGAUCACUAGUCGCCCUCCUGAACAGAGCUAAGUUUCAUCCUUUGAAUUUCCCAUAAACCAAUCUUCAUUCUUGUAUUCAAUUUCCAUCAAGUAGCUCAUGGGUUUCAAGAGAAGCUGACAUCCCCUACUCUCCAGACAAAGGUAUCUAACUCACUUGGAUUUUUUUAUGAUUUAAAGAAGAAGCCUAGUUUAUGUAUUUUUCUAUAUGGAAAAUCAUGCAUGGAAUGGUAUGUAUUUCUUCCACUCAUUUAUG